Long non-coding RNA from Vigna unguiculata (cowpea), 1216 nucleotides. RefSeq lists it as uncharacterized. NCBI's taxonomy places the organism in Eukaryota, Viridiplantae, Streptophyta, Magnoliopsida, Fabales, Fabaceae. The record is from RefSeq and is a predicted model, not a curated record.
AAUUUUUUUAAUUUUCAAAAGUUUUUCCGUGUGGCAGAGGAGAGAAACGUUUUCAGUCCAUUUUCAUUUCGCGUUUCUGUUCUCCCUCAUUCUCCAUCCAUCGAUGUAUAGAACCAAGAAUGGCAUUAAAGCUGAAACCACUACCUCUUCCUUCCUAUCAUCAUUCCUCUCCCCAUAAGAACCCUAAUUUCUCACUUUUCAAUCAUCGUCUUCCUAGUUUUCUCUUUGCACAUUCUCUUCCUCUCAAUCUCUUUCUCAUCCACACUUUCAAAAUUCAUGUUUCAUGGCAAUGCCUUCGUAAUCUCUCAUGCAUUUCGAAGUGAUGAAAUCGCUAACGAAGGUGAAGAAGAAAAGGAAGAACCAAUAUUGAUGCAGGGGUCGCGCCUUCACCCCUUAAUUUCCUUGGUUGUCUCUCGCAAGGUAACAAUGUCAUACUUGGAGGAUUGGUGUUCGCGACUUCGAUCUCUUUCUGGAGGUUGGCCCUCUUUUCUCUCUUUGACAGCCUCCACGAAAAAAUUUGCUGUGAAGUUUCAAGGCUUAAGAGGAUAAAGAAAAACAACAGAUUGAGCACAUGAUGGAUAAUGUAGAAGAUGUUGUCACAAAUGCCGCAGGGAGAAUGAUAUCUAUAGCAUCAAGAGCUUUGGAUUAUGAUUCCGAAAUUCUUGAAAUAUGGUAAAGCAAGUGAGGUUUAUGAUGAAUCUAGGGAUAAAGUGAAAGCAUUGGAUUGAGGAAAUAUGGUUGUGGAUGUCUUUGAUGAGGUAAAUGAUUCUAAAGAUAACAUAGGCGUGGGAAAUGAAUAUGGAGUCCACAAAGUAGCCGAAACUUUUGACCAACCUAAACGUGCAAUGGAGGAAUCAUAUGAGUUAACAAAGAAUACAAUGAAUCAAGAGGCAAAGGCUAAGUACAAGGCUGGAAUGGAGAAGGCUUCAGAUGCCAAAGGAUAUGUCAAAGCUAAGAUGAGGAACACCCCAAACCAAUGAACCUAUGGGCAUUGCAUAUAUUCAAAAUUUGAGCAGUUCUAAGAAUAACGAGGAUAAAUAGACUGAAUGUUAGGAAAUAUUUGAUACCCCAACAAGGUGCAUGACAAAAUAUUUCAUGAUAUUGAUUUUAGUUUUUCAAUUUAUAGGCGUUUCUUAUGAAAUCAACAUGAAUAUUGCGCUUAAUACAAAGCCUUUUAUUUCUUAUGUUUUUAACCCUUAUUGUCAAUGUUUGAAUU